RNAcentral lists this ribosomal RNA (1490 nucleotides) under Vibrio sp. RNAcentral's name for it is "bacterial SSU rRNA". It matches the Rfam family "Bacterial small subunit ribosomal RNA". Lineage: Bacteria; Pseudomonadati; Pseudomonadota; Gammaproteobacteria; Vibrionales; Vibrionaceae. The record is from RNAcentral.
UCAGAUUGAACGCUGGCGGCAGGCCUAACACAUGCAAGUCGAGCGGAAACGAGUUAUCUGAACCUUCGGGGAACGAUAACGGCGUCGAGCGGCGGACGGGUGAGUAAUGCCUAGGAAAUUGCCCUGAUGUGGGGGAUAACCAUUGGAAACGAUGGCUAAUACCGCAUGAUGCCUACGGGCCAAAGAGGGGGACCUUCGGGCCUCUCGCGUCAGGAUAUGCCUAGGUGGGAUUAGCUAGUUGGUGAGGUAAGGGCUCACCAAGGCGACGAUCCCUAGCUGGUCUGAGAGGAUGAUCAGCCACACUGGAACUGAGACACGGUCCAGACUCCUACGGGAGGCAGCAGUGGGGAAUAUUGCACAAUGGGCGCAAGCCUGAUGCAGCCAUGCCGCGUGUGUGAAGAAGGCCUUCGGGUUGUAAAGCACUUUCAGUCGUGAGGAAGGUAGUGUAGUUAAUAGCUGCAUUAUUUGACGUUAGCGACAGAAGAAGCACCGGCUAACUCCGUGCCAGCAGCCGCGGUAAUACGGAGGGUGCGAGCGUUAAUCGGAAUUACUGGGCGUAAAGCGCAUGCAGGUGGUUUGUUAAGUCAGAUGUGAAAGCCCGGGGCUCAACCUCGGAAUAGCAUUUGAAACUGGCAGACUAGAGUACUGUAGAGGGGGGUAGAAUUUCAGGUGUAGCGGUGAAAUGCGUAGAGAUCUGAAGGAAUACCGGUGGCGAAGGCGGCCCCCUGGACAGAUACUGACACUCAGAUGCGAAAGCGUGGGGAGCAAACAGGAUUAGAUACCCUGGUAGUCCACGCCGUAAACGAUGUCUACUUGGAGGUUGUGGCCUUGAGCCGUGGCUUUCGGAGCUAACGCGUUAAGUAGACCGCCUGGGGAGUACGGUCGCAAGAUUAAAACUCAAAUGAAUUGACGGGGGCCCGCACAAGCGGUGGAGCAUGUGGUUUAAUUCGAUGCAACGCGAAGAACCUUACCUACUCUUGACAUCCAGAGAACUUUCCAGAGAUGGAUUGGUGCCUUCGGGAACUCUGAGACAGGUGCUGCAUGGCUGUCGUCAGCUCGUGUUGUGAAAUGUUGGGUUAAGUCCCGCAACGAGCGCAACCCUUAUCCUUGUUUGCCAGCGAGUAAUGUCGGGAACUCCAGGGAGACUGCCGGUGAUAAACCGGAGGAAGGUGGGGACGACGUCAAGUCAUCAUGGCCCUUACGAGUAGGGCUACACACGUGCUACAAUGGCGCAUACAGAGGGCGGCCAACUUGCGAAAGUGAGCGAAUCCCAAAAAGUGCGUCGUAGUCCGGAUUGGAGUCUGCAACUCGACUCCAUGAAGUCGGAAUCGCUAGUAAUCGUGGAUCAGAAUGCCACGGUGAAUACGUUCCCGGGCCUUGUACACACCGCCCGUCACACCAUGGGGAGUGGGCUGCAAAAGAAGUAGGUAGUUUAACCUUCGGGGGGGACGCUUACCACUUUGUGGUUCAUGACUGGGGGUGAAGUCGUA